GACGAACGCUGGCGGCGUGCUUAACACAUGCAAGUCGAACGGAAAGGCCCUGCUUGCAGGGUGCUCGAGUGGCGAACGGGUGAGUAAUACGUGGGUGAUCUGCUCCUUGCUUUGGGAUACGCCUGGGAAACUGGGCCUAAUACUGGAUAGGACCGUGCUGUAGGUGGUGUGGUGGAAGGAUCAGUUUCGGUAAGGGUUGAGCACGCGGCCUUUCAGCUUGUUGGGGGGGUAGUGGCCUACCAAGGCGUCGACGGGUAUGCGGCCUGAGUGGGUGUACGGCAACAUCGAGACUGCGACGCGACGCACACGUCUACGGUAUGCGGCAGUGGGGAAUAUUCUACAACAGCCGUAAGGCGGAUGCAGCGACGCUGCGUGGAGUGUGACGGCCUUCGGGUUGUAAAGAACGGUCGUCCAUUACGAAGUCGCUGUUGUGACGUUAGUGGCAGAAGAAGCACCGGCUAACUACGUG
This 469-nucleotide ribosomal RNA is filed under the name uncultured bacterium. RNAcentral's name for it is "partial 16S ribosomal RNA". It matches the Rfam family "Bacterial small subunit ribosomal RNA", at positions 28 to 507 of the family's 1533-position model. The record is from RNAcentral.